RNAcentral lists this long non-coding RNA (992 nucleotides) under Felis catus (domestic cat). Its description in RNAcentral is "lncRNA (ENSFCAG00000041303.2)". The record is from RNAcentral. Lineage: Eukaryota; Metazoa; Chordata; Mammalia; Carnivora; Felidae.
UGCCCUUUGCUCACCAAGCCAGGUGCCUCAGUUUGGGCUGUGUCAGGAGGAAGAUGUGCUUUUUCUUCCAUGAAAGGGGCCCAAAUGCACACACCCAACUGUGUUCUUGGGGUGGAGGAUGGAGAGUGUGCCAUCCUGCAGUUAUCACACAGGAGGAGAGGAAGCCAACUUAUCUCCUGCACCUAUGAGAAAGAAGAAAGGCAUAAUCAGGGAGUUGACCUGGGCUAAGGAGCAACUCUGGGACUCUUGUGCCAUGGAGAAGAGAAGCCAGAGUGUGCACAGGAAAGGAGCAAAGGACCAAGACUAUGUUUGAAGCAUUUACUACUGUAAAGUAGUUCAGUAGAAGGAUUGGUUGCUUCCAGGAUCCCUGUAUCUACCGCAUCCUCCUUAUUUUUUACAUGGCCACCCCACAUCUCUCCAGAUUUCAGGUUGGCUGUCCUGUGAUGUAGUUCUCUGAACAGUUCACAAAAUGUCAUUAAUUUGCUGUCUAUCCAGCUUUCUUCUUGUUGCAAAUAUGAGAGCUACAGUUUCAAGCUGAAAUUAAAAGUAAGUGACAAGAUUUUAAGUAAUUAAAUUAUUAAAGCAAUGCAGGUAAACUGAAUGAUGAUAAAAAUUAAAGAAAACUUAGCAGAAAUCUAAAGGAUAUAAGUUUAUAAAGAAUGUAUGAGCAAUAUAACUAAGAAAAAAUAAUAUCAGCCAAAAAAAUUGCCUGUUUUUAAAAAAUGAUUUCAAAUUAUUGGUAAAUACUUACUGAGUGUUUACUUAUUGCAAUGUAUCCUAGUAAGUGCUUGCCUAACUUUUAAAAUGGAAUCUUUUCAGCAAUUCUUUUGGCUGUGUUCUCUUAUUAUUUUCAUUACGAGGAAACUGAGGUACAAAGAGUUUGGUUGACUUGCCGAAGGUCGUACAAUUAAUCAGUGUUGGAACUGGGACUGUAAUUCAGGAAGUCUGAAUCUCCAGUAUGUCUUCAUAUAAUAAAUAAAAUGAGGCUACCA